Molecule: ribosomal RNA, 1216 nt
Filed under: uncultured organism
Description: bacterial SSU rRNA
Rfam family: Bacterial small subunit ribosomal RNA
Source: RNAcentral
CUAACACAUGCAAGUCGAGGGGUAACUGAGGUAGCUUGCUACUUGCUGACGACCGGCGCACGGGUGCGUAACGCGUAUACAAUCUGCCCAUUACUAAGGGAUAGCCCAUGGAAACGUGGAUUAAUACCUUAUGGUAUUUAAGAAUCGCCUGAUUUUUAAAUUAAAGGUUACGAUAAUGGAUGAGUAUGCGUCCUAUUAGCUAUUAUGUAGGGUAACGGCCUACAUAGGCGAUGAUAGGUAGGGGUUCUGAGAGGGAGAUCCCCCACACUGGUACUGAGACACGGACCAGACUCCUACGGGAGGCAGCAGUGAGGAAUAUUGGACAAUGGGAGCAAUCCUGAUCCAGCCAUGCCGCGUGCAGGAAGACGGUCCUAUGGAUUGUAAACUGCUUUUAUACAGGAAGAAAAAGGAGUACGUGUACUCCAUUGACGGUACUGUAUGAAUAAGGAUCGGCUAACUCCGUGCCAGCAGCCGCGGUAAUACGGAGGAUCCGAGCGUUAUCCGGAAUUAUUGGGUUUAAAGGGUCCGUAGGCGGGAUAAUAAGUCAGUGGUGAAAGUUUGUGGCUCAACCAUAAAAUUGCCAUUGAUACUGUUAUUCUUGAGUUAUUGUGAAGUGGUUAGAAUGUGUAGUGUAGCGGUGAAAUGCAUAGAUAUUACACAGAAUACCAAUUGCGAAGGCAGAUCACUAACAAUGAACUGACGCUGAUGGACGAAAGCGUAGGUAGCGAACAGGAUUAGAUACCCUGGUAGUCUACGCAGUAAACGAUGGUUACUAGCUGUUUGGCAUAAUUGAGUGCUGAGUGGUUAAGCGAAAGUGAUAAGUAACCCACCUGGGGAGUACGUUCGCAAGAAUGAAACUCAAAGGAAUUGACGGGGGCCCGCACAAGCGGUGGAGCAUGUGGUUUAAUUCGAUGAUACGCGAGGAACCUUACCAGGGCUUAAAUGCAGUCUGACAGGGGUGGANCACCUUUUUCUUCGGACAGAUUGCAAGGUGCUGCAUGGUUGUCGUCAGCUCGUGCCGUGAGGUGUCAGGUUAAGUCCUAUAACGAGCGCAACCCCUAUGGUUAGUUGCUAGCAGGUCAUGCUGAGAACUCUAGCCAGACUGCCGGUGUAAACCGCGAGGAAGGUGGGGAUGACGUCANAUCAUCACGGCCCUUACGUCCUGGGCUACACACGUGCUACAAUGGUAUGUACAAUGAGCAGCCACCACGCGAGU